AGAGUCAAAUGGAGCACCCCUUCAUGAACACAAGGCUCCAGGGAGCCCUUGACAGCGGUGGUGCGGGCCUGGCCCUGGGAGGCAGAUCAGCGAGGACCAGCUGUGCGGGCUGUGGAGAAGGAGGCCACAUGGAAUCCCAGAAUCAACAGAUUGCCUAUGCUGAAGAAACACAGGGUUCAACAGGUACAAACCUUUCUGGGUCUUCUUUAUUUUUCUGAGAGCCGGGAGACGUGGAAAGGCAGCUCCUACAAUUCCUCCUCAAGGCACGUCCUCCUGAAAGGGAGACUCCAACCUAUGGCAAAUCCCUUCCCUGAAGGGGUCAUGAAAGUUAUCAGUAUCUAAAGAGAACUGCUAGCAUCAAUCACCAACAAAAUGGAGCCUGGAGGCCAUGGAAGAGGGCAUGGGCGCCUAUGAUGGAUUCCUCGGGAAUGCAGCCGGGCAGUUCUGUCUGGGCGGCUUGCCUAGAGAGGGGACAUUUGCCUGACUGCAGCUGUCUCUAAAGGAGCCAUCCAGUUCUGGCUACUUCAGAAUAGCUUGCUUGGACUCCUUUCUCAUCUUUAAAGGCUCACCCUCUGCCCUAGCCUCCUCGAAUGUGCCCUGAUUCAGCAUGGCGUGUGUCCUGUAAUCCUCUACUGUUCUCCACUGUGCAGAGCUGACCAACAAAAUAGGCCGCCUAGAGCUGUGAGGUAAACAGAAGCACACAGAGGUGUUUGUUCCCCUAAAGGAUCCGUCUUUCUUUCUAAGCAGCCGUCAGUUUUCUGUGAACGCCUUUCUGCCUCUGCGACUUCCCUACUCUAUUUACAAGCCUCAAGUUCUAGCCACUCUUUUCGAGCUGGGUAAAACCCUAUGACAAGGUGACCCCUGUGGAAAGUUUGACUCCCAAAGGGGUUGCGACCCACAGAUUGAAAGCCACCUCCCUAAGGCACCAGCACUCGCAAUUUGUCCUCCUCCUGUACUGAGGAUGGUAAAAUGACCAGGGUGUUUGAAGGACCUCAUGGAGACUGUCAUCAGAGAAGGCCACCUCAUCCUGGGUUUCUUUCCAAGAGCCCUCACCGACCCUCGCAUCACUGGUCAGACCUGAGUGACGUGCUCUUUCCUAAGCCAGCGUCUGUCAGUGUGGCUGGAAAUGUCACAACUGAUUUGGUUGACACCUGUGGGGUAUGAUCAUUCUUUCUAAGCCUUGAGAGGAAGGGUUGGAUCAAUGGAAAGGGAAUUCUGCUGACAAAGAAGAGAGGAGAGACAGGAGCUGAGUGGACCAGCUGCUGUCGAAGGCAAAGAAGAAAGGAGACACAGGAGCUGAGUGGGCCGGCAGCUGUCCACAGCAGUCUGAGAAGGUCACUUCAGGAGGCCCAGCAGCUCUGUCACUGGUUUUCUCUACCAUACUUGAACCCGACCUGCACACACUGAUAUAAGGAUGCCCUCUUAAUUCACCUUUUCCCUCAGAGAUUAAGUGAACUGAUGGAAGCCCUUUGUUUAUUAGUUAUCAAUUACAUUAUCAUCUUUUAUUUUGAGAUUAUGAUAUAAAUAUGUCAUUUCUCCCUUCACUUUCCUUCUUCCAAGCCCUCCGUGUACCCCUCCUGCUGUCUUUCGAACUCUCAACACUCUUUC
Molecule: long non-coding RNA, 1608 nt
Organism: Meriones unguiculatus (Mongolian gerbil)
Lineage: Eukaryota; Metazoa; Chordata; Mammalia; Rodentia; Muridae
Exons: 3
Source: RefSeq, a predicted model, not a curated record